GAUGAACGCUAGCGGGAGGCUUAAUACAUGCAAGUCGAACGGUAACAGUCUAAAACCUAGUUUUGGAGCUGACGAGUGGCGCACGGGUGAGUAACGCGUACAUAAUCUACCUUUAACUGGAGGGCAGCCCUGGGAAACUGGGAUUAAUACUCCAUAGUAUCAUUGUUUGGCAUCGAAUAAUGAUUAAAGCUCCGGCGGUUAAAGAUGAAUGUGCGUACUAUUAGGUAGUUGGUAAGGUAACGGCUUACCAAGCCGACGAUAGUUAGGGGGCGUGAGAGCGUGAUCCCCCACACGGGUACUGAGACACGGACCCGACUCCUACGGGAGGCAGCAGUAAGGAAUAUUGGACAAUGGAGGCAACUCUGAUCCAGCCAUCCCGCGUGCAGGAUGACGGCCCUAUGGGUUGUAAACUGCUUUUAGAUAGGACGAACCACAUGAAUUUAUUUGUGUCUGACGGUACUAUCAGAAUAAGCACCGGCUAAUUCCG
Molecule: ribosomal RNA, 487 nt
Filed under: uncultured Saprospiraceae bacterium
Lineage: Bacteria; Pseudomonadati; Bacteroidota; Saprospiria; Saprospirales; Saprospiraceae
Description: bacterial SSU rRNA
Rfam family: Bacterial small subunit ribosomal RNA
Source: RNAcentral